CCUACGGGAGGCUGCAGUGGGGAAUAUUGGACAAUGGGGGGAACCCUGAUCCAGCCAUGCCGCGUGUGUGAAGAAGGCCCUCGGGUUGUAAAGCACUUUCAGUGAGGAAGAACGCCUGGUGGUUAAUACCCAUCAGGAAAGACAUCACUCACAGAAGAAGCACCGGCUAACUCCGUGCCAGCAGCCGCGGUAAUACAGAGGGUGCGAGCGUUAAUCGGAAUUACUGGGCGUAAAGCGCGCGUAGGUGGCUUGAUAAGCCGGUUGUGAAAGCCCCGGGCUCAACCUGGGAACGGCAUCCGGAACUGUCAAGCUAGAGUGCAGGAGAGGAAGGUAGAAUUCCCGGUGUAGCGGUGAAAUGCGUAGAGAUCGGGAGGAAUACCAGUGGCGAAGGCGGCCUUCUGGACUGACACUGACACUGAGGUGCGAAAGCGUGGGUAGCAAACAGGAUUAGAUACCCUAGUAGUC
This 465-nucleotide ribosomal RNA is filed under the name Vreelandella stevensii. RNAcentral's name for it is "partial 16S ribosomal RNA". It matches the Rfam family "Bacterial small subunit ribosomal RNA", at positions 338 to 795 of the family's 1533-position model. Lineage: Bacteria; Pseudomonadati; Pseudomonadota; Gammaproteobacteria; Oceanospirillales; Halomonadaceae. The record is from RNAcentral.